UGAGCAAUCUGCCCUUCUCUUCGGAAUAAGCGUUGGAAACGACGUCUAAUGCCGAAUACGACCUCCUUUCGCAUGAUCGGAGGUGGAAAGCUCCGGCGGAGAAGGAUGAGCUCGCGGCCUAUCAGCUAGUUGGUGUGGGUAAUGGCUCACCAAGGCUUCGACGGGUAGCCGGCCUGAGAGGGCGACCGGCCACACUGGGACUGAGAUACGGCCCAGACUCCUACGGGAGCAG
This 232-nucleotide ribosomal RNA is filed under the name uncultured bacterium. RNAcentral describes it as "partial 16S ribosomal RNA". It matches the Rfam family "Bacterial small subunit ribosomal RNA", at positions 118 to 347 of the family's 1533-position model. The record is from RNAcentral.